This is a non-coding RNA of Pelobates cultripes (western spadefoot toad), 283 nucleotides long. NCBI's taxonomy places the organism in Eukaryota, Metazoa, Chordata, Amphibia, Anura, Pelobatidae. The record is from the annotation of a GenBank genome assembly.
GCCGCAUUUUGCCCCCUUCAUUAUUUCAGACAAUAUCAAACUCUUCCCUUUCAGACAUACAGCACCACCUUCCGACAGCCAUUUUCAAACCAUACUCCUUUUUUCUUAAUUGCUUACUCAACAAGGGUUUAAAAGGUAUAAGUAAUCGAUUCAUCACCCCCACGAAUAACAUACCCCCGCAAUGGAAAUUCCCGGGGUCGUCAGUCUCAUGCAACAUUUGAAUUACACAACCGGGUCGUAUACCUGCUUGUAUUGAACCUUCUUUGGCUUCCUGAGUCCUAGG